RNAcentral lists this ribosomal RNA (436 nucleotides) under uncultured bacterium. RNAcentral describes it as "bacterial SSU rRNA". It matches the Rfam family "Bacterial small subunit ribosomal RNA", at positions 40 to 522 of the family's 1533-position model. The record is from RNAcentral.
CGGCGUAGCUUAACACAUGCAAGUCGAACGAACCUUCGGGUUAGUGGCGGACGGGUGAGUAACGCGUGAGAAUCUGCCCUCAGGAGGGGGAUAACGGCUGGAAACGGCCGCUAAUACCCCAUAUGCCGAGAGGUGAAAUGAAUUUCGCCUGAGGAUGAGCUCGCGUCUGAUUAACUAGUUGGUGGGGUAAGAGCCUACCAAGGCGACGAUCAGUAGCUGGUCUGAGAGGAUGAUCAGCCACACUGGGACUGAGACACGGCCCAGACUCCUACGGGAGGCAGCAGUGGGGAAUUUUCCGCAAUGGGCGAAAGCCUGACGGAGCAACGCCGCGUGAGGGAUGAAGGCCUCUGGGCUGUAAACCUCUUUUCUCAAGGAAGAAGAUCUGACGGUACUUGAGGAAUAAGCCACGGCUAAUUCCGUGCCAGCAGCCGCGGUA